This 465-nucleotide ribosomal RNA is filed under the name uncultured bacterium. RNAcentral describes it as "partial 16S ribosomal RNA". It matches the Rfam family "Bacterial small subunit ribosomal RNA", at positions 28 to 507 of the family's 1533-position model. The record is from RNAcentral.
GAUGAACGCUGGCGGCGUGCUUAACACAUGCAAGUCGAACGGAAAGGCCCAAGCUUGCUUGGGUACUCGAGUGGCGAACGGGUGAGUAACACGUGGGUGAUCUGCCCUGCACUUCGGGAUAAGCCUGGGAAACUGGGUCUAAUACCGGAUAGGACCACAUUUUGGAUGGUGUGGUGGAAAGUUUUUCGGCGUGGGAUGAGCUCGCGGCCUAUCAGCUUGUUGGUGGGGUAAUGGCCUACCAAGGCGUCGACGGGUAGCCGGCCUGAGAGGGUGUACGGCCACAUUGGGACUGAGAUACGGCCCAGACUCCUACGGGAGGCAGCAGUGGGGAAUAUUGCACAAUGGGCGCAAGCCUGAUGCAGCGACGCCGCGUGGGGGAUGACGGCCUUCGGGUUGUAAACUCCUUUCGCUAGGGACGAAGCGCAAGUGACGGUACCUGGAGAAGAAGCACCGGCUAACUACGUG